AAAUUGAAGAGUUUGAUCAUGGCUCAGAUUGAACGCUGGCGGCAGGCCUAACACAUGCAAGUCGAACGGUAACAGGAGUCAGCUUGCUGAUUCGCUGACGAGUGGCGGACGGGUGAGUAAUGUCUGGGAAACUGCCUGAUGGAGGGGGAUAACUACUGGAAACGGUAGCUAAUACCGCAUAA
RNAcentral lists this ribosomal RNA (182 nucleotides) under Escherichia coli. RNAcentral's name for it is "partial 16S ribosomal RNA". It matches the Rfam family "Bacterial small subunit ribosomal RNA", at positions 1 to 176 of the family's 1533-position model. Lineage: Bacteria; Pseudomonadati; Pseudomonadota; Gammaproteobacteria; Enterobacterales; Enterobacteriaceae. The record is from RNAcentral.